UUUCUCAUUCUUGGUUCAUCUAAUCUCUGUUUCUUUUGUGUAUAGCAAAAUUUUCAUAUAACCUAUUGUUUUAAUUUAUAGAGCACACUGGUUGUUGCUUGCUAUCAACCCUAUAAGAGAAGUCGUGUAUUAUCUGAAUUCGGUAAAUGGUGACUGGACCAAUUAUCCGGCUAUGAAGGAAAUCGUUGAUUUAUCAAUACAAGUGUUCCGAAGUCAACGGGACGCACAUGUAUCCCGGACUAAAUCAAACAACAUUACUUGGAUCAAAGUGCAGUGUCCGCAACAGUGAAACAGUUCAGAUUGCGGAUACUUUGUUUUGAGGUUUAUGAAAGAAAUCCUUCAGGCGAAUCAAUUAGAGAUUCCGCUCACGUACCUUGACGAAUUCCGUGCUGCUGGGUACCCGAGACUUAAGUUGGAAGAAAUCAAAGAGGAUUUGUGUCAAUAUUAUAUUAAGCAAUUUUUCAUGUAGGAUUUGUGUCGAUUUGAACUAUAGUAUUAUUG
Long non-coding RNA from Vicia villosa (hairy vetch), 501 nucleotides. RefSeq lists it as uncharacterized. The record is from RefSeq and is a predicted model, not a curated record. Lineage: Eukaryota; Viridiplantae; Streptophyta; Magnoliopsida; Fabales; Fabaceae. The transcript is spliced from 4 exons.